UCCCUGGUGGCUCAGACAGUAAAGCAUCUGCCUGCAAUGCGGGAGACUCAGGUUCAAUUCCUGGGUUGAGAA
RNAcentral lists this transfer RNA (72 nucleotides) under Bos taurus (domestic cattle). It matches the Rfam family "tRNA". Rfam says of the family: Transfer RNA (tRNA) molecules are approximately 80 nucleotides in length. Their secondary structure includes four short double-helical elements and three loops (D, anti-codon, and T loops). RNAcentral also lists the same sequence under 1 other name. Lineage: Eukaryota; Metazoa; Chordata; Mammalia; Artiodactyla; Bovidae. The record is from Rfam by way of RNAcentral.